Molecule: ribosomal RNA, 465 nt
Filed under: Vreelandella stevensii
Lineage: Bacteria; Pseudomonadati; Pseudomonadota; Gammaproteobacteria; Oceanospirillales; Halomonadaceae
Description: partial 16S ribosomal RNA
Rfam family: Bacterial small subunit ribosomal RNA
Source: RNAcentral
CCUACGGGUGGCAGCAGUGGGGAAUAUUGGACAAUGGGGGCAACCCUGAUCCAGCCAUGCCGCGUGUGUGAAGAAGGCCCUCGGGUUGUAAAGCACUUUCAGUGAGGAAGAACGCCUGGUGGUUAAUACCCAUCAGGAAAGACAUCACUCACAGAAGAAGCACCGGCUAACUCCGUGCCAGCAGCCGCGGUAAUACGGAGGGUGCGAGCGUUAAUCGGAAUUACUGGGCGUAAAGCGCGCGUAGGUGGCUUGAUAAGCCGGUUGUGAAAGCCCCGGGCUCAACCUGGGAACGGCAUCCGGAACUGUCAAGCUAGAGUGCAGGAGAGGAAGGUAGAAUUCCCGGUGUAGCGGUGAAAUGCGUAGAGAUCGGGAGGAUUACCAGUGGCGAAGGCGGCCUUCUGGACUGACACUGACACUGAGGUGCGAAAUCGUGGGUAGCAAACAGGAUUAGAUACCCCAGUAGUC